RNAcentral lists this transfer RNA (74 nucleotides) under Salmo salar (Atlantic salmon). It matches the Rfam family "tRNA". From Rfam's summary of the family: Transfer RNA (tRNA) molecules are approximately 80 nucleotides in length. Their secondary structure includes four short double-helical elements and three loops (D, anti-codon, and T loops). Lineage: Eukaryota; Metazoa; Chordata; Actinopteri; Salmoniformes; Salmonidae. The record is from Rfam by way of RNAcentral.
GGCCGGUUAUCUCACUUGGUUAGAGCUUGGUGCUAAUAACGCCAAGGUUGUGGGUUCGAUCCCCAUACUGGCCA